Anguilla rostrata (American eel) is the source of this 684-nucleotide long non-coding RNA. RefSeq lists it as uncharacterized. The record is from RefSeq and is a predicted model, not a curated record. The transcript has 4 exons. Lineage: Eukaryota; Metazoa; Chordata; Actinopteri; Anguilliformes; Anguillidae.
UGGGUCUGACCUCUGGGAUAAUAUGAUGUUACCCAGCUAACAUCACUCUCACAGACUUUGAAACCUCACAUCAAAAUGUAUGUGUGUGGGUGUGUUUAGGUGGGUAUGAGUGUUUACAGUAUGUGUGUGUGUGUGUGUGUGUGUGAGUGCGUAGGUAUGUGUGUGCAGGUGGGGAACAGAGUGUAUAUGUGUGUGUGUAUGUGCGAGUGCAUAUGAGUGUGUGGGUGUGACUGUGUGUGUGUGUGUUUGCGUGUGGGGGAAUAUGCAUGUGUGUAUGUAUACAUGUGUGUAUGUGUGUCUGUGUGUGUGCAUAUGCAUAUGUGUGUGUGUGUGGUUGCAUAUGCGUGCGUGUGCCAGCAUGUGAGAGAGAGUGUGUGUGUGUGCGCAUGUGUGUAUGCAUGUCUGUAUGUGUGUGUGUGGUUGCAUAUGCGUGUGUGUGCGUGCAUGAGGGUGUAUGUGCGUGCGUGUGUGAGAGUAAGGCUGGAAACACACUUGAUUCAAAUUACGUGGCCGCGUACACAAAAUGGCUGUCAUGCGUAUCCUGCGGUCAUUCAGAGCGUCCUUUGUGCACGUCCUCAAAAAUGAACGCUACACGUCUGCAAGGUGCAGUACCCGCAUAAACCACGGGGGCAGUAUUCAUUUUACGCCUAGUGACCUGACUGACGCCAGGAAGCUAGGAAGGAU